Molecule: non-coding RNA, 24 nt
Filed under: Rattus norvegicus (Norway rat)
Lineage: Eukaryota; Metazoa; Chordata; Mammalia; Rodentia; Muridae
Source: RNAcentral
UGAUUUAAAUGGUGGGACGGUUGA